AUGGAGGGACGCAGAAAGAUAGGGUAAGCGCGCUGCUGGAUAUGCGCGUCCAAGCAAUUAGGCUGAUGUGUAGGCAAAUCCGCACAUCAUAAGGCUGAGUUGUGAUGGCGAGGGAAAUAUAGUACCGAAGUUCCUGAUUCUACGCUGCCAAGAAAAGCUUCUAGCGAGGAAAUAGGUGCCUGUACCGCAAACCGACACAGGUAGGCGAGGAGAGAAUCCUAAGGUGAGCGAGAGAACUAUGGUUAAGGAACUCGGCAAAAUGACCCCGUAACUUCGGGAGAAGGGGUGCUCUUUUGGGUGUAUGCCCGGGAGAGCCGCAGUGAAAAGGCCCAAGCGACUGUUUAGCAAAAACACAGGUCUCUGCGAAGCCGCAAGGCGAAGUAUAGGGGCUGACGCCUGCCCGGUGCUGGAAGGUUAAGAGGAGGGGUUAUCCCUUACGGGAGAAGCUCUGAAUUGAAGCCCCAGUAAACGGCGGCCGUAACUAUAACGGUCCUAAGGUAGCGAAAUUCCUUGUCGGGUAAGUUCCGACCCGCACGAAAGGCGUAACGAUUUGGGCACUGUCUCAACCAUAGACUCGGUGAAAUUAUAGUACCUGUGAAGAUGCAGGUUACCCGCGACAGGACGGAAAGACCCCGUGGAGCUUUACUGCAGCUUGAUAUUGAAUUUUGGUACAGCUUGUACAGGAUAGGUAGGAGCCUGAGAAGCCGGAGCGCUAGCUUCGGUGGAGGCGUCGGUGGGAUACUACCCUGGCUGUAUUGAAAUUCUAACCUAGAGCCGUGAUCCGGCUCGGAGACAGUGUCAGGUGGGCAGUUUGACUGGGGCGGUCGCCUCCUAAAGAGUAACGGAGGCGCCCAAAGGUUCCCUCAGAAUGGUUGGAAAUCAUUCGAAGAGUGUAAAGGCAUAAGGGAGCUUGACUGCGAGACCUACAAGUCGAGCAGGGACGAAAGUCGGGCUUAGUGAUCCGGUGGUUCCGCAUGGAAGGGCCAUCGCUCAACGGAUAAAAGCUACCCCGGGGAUAACAGGCUUAUCUCCCCCAAGAGUCCACAUCGACGGGGAGGUUUGGCACCUCGAUGUCGGCUCAUCGCAUCCUGGGGCUGUAGUCGGUCCCAAGGGUUGGGCUGUUCGCCCAUUAAAGCGGUACGCGAGCUGGGUUCAGAACGUCGUGAGACAGUUCGGUCCCUAUCCGUCGUGGGCGCAGGAAAUUUGAGAGGAGCUGUCCUUAGUACGAGAGGACCGGGAUGGACACACCGCUGGUGUACCAGUUGUUCUGCCAAGAGCAUGGCUGGGUAGCUAUGUGUGGAAGGGAUAAGUGCUGAAAGCAUCUAAGCAUGAAGCCCCCCUCAAGAUGAGAUUUCCCAUAGCGUUAAGCUAGUAAGACCCCUGAGAGACGAUCAGGUUGAUAGGUCAGAGGUGGAAGCGUGGUGACACGUGGAGCUGACUGAUACUAAUCGGUCGAGGACUUAACUA
This 1467-nucleotide ribosomal RNA is filed under the name Bacillus sp. UNCCL81. Its description in RNAcentral is "bacterial LSU rRNA". It matches the Rfam family "Bacterial large subunit ribosomal RNA", at positions 1464 to 2925 of the family's 2925-position model. The record is from RNAcentral. Lineage: Bacteria; Bacillati; Bacillota; Bacilli; Caryophanales; Bacillaceae.